RNAcentral lists this unclassified non-coding RNA (23 nucleotides) under Mus musculus (house mouse). Its description in RNAcentral is "oocyte_clustered_small_RNA1713". Lineage: Eukaryota; Metazoa; Chordata; Mammalia; Rodentia; Muridae. The record is from RNAcentral.
UUGUACCCACAGUGGUAUAGGAG